GUCCCUGUAGCGCAAUGGACAGCGAGUUGAACUUCUAAUACAAAGGUUGUGGGUUUGAAUCCCAUCUGGAAUA
This is a non-coding RNA of Trichonephila clavipes, 73 nucleotides long. NCBI's taxonomy places the organism in Eukaryota, Metazoa, Arthropoda, Arachnida, Araneae, Nephilidae. The record is from the annotation of a GenBank genome assembly.